Molecule: ribosomal RNA, 348 nt
Filed under: uncultured bacterium
Lineage: Bacteria
Description: bacterial SSU rRNA
Rfam family: Bacterial small subunit ribosomal RNA
Source: RNAcentral
GGGCCCGCACAAGCGGUGGAGCAUGUGGUUUAAUUCGAUGAUACGCGAGGAACCUUACCAGGGCUUAAAUGUAGUGGGACAGGUCUAGAGAUAGACCCUUCUUCGGACUCAUUACAAGGUGCUGCAUGUUUGUCGUCAGCUCGUGCCGUGAGGUGUCAGGUUAAGUCCUAUAACGAGCGCAACCCCUAUCGUUAGUUGCCAGCGGGUAAUGCCGGGAACUCUAGCGAAACUGCCGGUGCAAACCGAGAGGAAGGUGGGGAUGACGUCAAAUCAUCACGGCCCUUACGUCCUGGCCUACACACGUGCUACAAUGGCCGGUACAGAGAGCAGCAAGCUAGCGAUAGUGAG